UACGUAGGGUGCAAGCGUUGUCCGGAAUUAUUGGGCGUAAAGAGCUCGUAGGCGGUUUGUCGCGUCUGCUGUGAAAACCCGAGGCUCAACCUCGGGCCUGCAGUGGGUACGGGCAGACUAGAGUGCGGUAGGGGAGAUUGGAAUUCCUGGUGUAGCGGUGGAAUGCGCAGAUAUCAGGAGGAACACCGGUGGCGAAGGCGGUUCUCUGGGCAUGUCCUGACGCUGAGGAGCGAAAGCGUGGGUAGCGAACAGG
Molecule: ribosomal RNA, 253 nt
Filed under: uncultured bacterium
Lineage: Bacteria
Description: partial 16S ribosomal RNA
Rfam family: Bacterial small subunit ribosomal RNA
Source: RNAcentral